AAUCGGCGGCCGGCGGAGCGGCGGAAGGGGCGGGGCGAGGCGCGGCAAGAUGGCGGCGGCGGGAGGCGCGGAGUCCGGUAGCGGUGGUGGUGGCGGCGGUGCGGAGCUCGCGCUGGUGGAGGGCAGCGCCGGGCGGGCCGCCCGCGUCGGCGACCCGGGAGACCUGGUGGCCCUGGCGCGGCAGGUGCAGCAGGCGGACGACUUCACCCGCGCCAAUGCCUGCAGCAAGCUGAUGGUCAUCGCCGAGCAGAUCCGGCAUCUGCAGGAGCAGGCUCGGAAGGUCUUGGACGAAGCUAACAGAGACGCUGAUCUGCACCACGUGGCCUGCAAUCUCGUGAAGAAGCCGGGAAACAUCUACUACAUGUACAGGCGGGAGAGUGGCCAGCGAUACUUCUCCAUCCUGUCCCCUAAGGAGUGGGGGACCAGCCCCCACGAGUUCCUCGGCGCCUACAAGCUCCAGCACGACAUGUCCUGGACUCCCUUCGAGGACAUUGACCGGCGAGAUGCCGAGAUAAACCUCCUGGACAAGCUGCUGAGCCGGCAGGCCGCACUGCCGCCGUGCACGGAGCCCAACUUCCAGGGCCUCGCCAAGUGACGCGGGCCGCCGUGACCGGACGGGACCUCUGAGCAGAGCCCCUGCGAGAGGACAGGCCGGCGGCGGCUGAACGCUGCCGAAGGCAGGGCAAGGAGAGGGAUCCAGAAAUGAAAACGCUGCUGCUUGCUCUGUGCUUUAAUGAGACUAAUUCCAAAUUCGGUCUUACUGGAUUUUCUAGUAAUCAAGUAAUUUCUUUCUUUGACUUGUGCCAAGCUCUAGCGAGGUAUCAGAUGGAGUCAGUCCAAGAGGGCUUGGGGCAAAAAGCAAGAUCGCUUGACUCAGAUGUGGUAGCGCUAGGAAAUACGUCCCACCUGUCCGGCUCUGGCGUGUGACACUGCGUCCUGUGGUAGGUGAUCGUUUCAGGGCUGGGUUUUGACCCUGAUGAAAAAACCCAUCUUUAGGAAGCCCCGUGGCCUGGGAAGAGCAGCUGAAGCCCCGGGCAAAAAGGUGUGUUGUGAUCUGAGCCUGUGGGUCUCUCCCAACAGUGUUCAAACCCCUGUGACUUCCAUGCGGGGUGUCCUAGAGCUCUUCUGGAUGGAAAGAGCGUCCUCCAAAGGACCACGCAAGCUUCAGGCCACUGGCCUGGCUGCUGUGGGUCACAGAGGGAGGGCUGUGUGCUUUUUUGAAGGAUGGUUGUUUCACAGCUGCCUUAUGUUUCCCUUGGCUUCCAGUGGCUGAGCUGCUGGGGAGAGAAGGGGAACGUACGGGGUCCCGCACUCUGUUUUUUGGCAGAGCACUGGAAAAAAUGAAAUAAAUCUAUCUCGAUGUCAGCCAUCCUGCCGUGACGGGCCCUGCGUCCUGUUUGCACGGGCAGCCUCCCUUCUGCUGCUGUACCGGGGAGGCUUGGUGAUGUGCUAGGACAUCUCCUGUCUCUAUCUUCCCCCGGGUGCUGGGGAGAGGCCAAGAUCAGAGCUCCUGGGGAGAUCCCUCCCUCCAGGCAGCCACAUAGAUCCCAGGGGGGUGCAGGGCUCCUUGGGGCUCGCCGGCGGGACAGGAGCCAUCUCCAAUUUAGUCUCCCUUCAUCAGGGGACAGCCCUUCCUUCCGCCUCCAGCCCGCAUGCGCUGCAGCAGGCUUUUAUUCCCUUAUCACUUUGCCAUGUGCUUUCUCUCCCUGUUGCAAGCGCGGUGCCCCGCCUCCGAGCUCUCCUGCCUUUGAGCUUUGCAGUUUUGCCCUCUGGCUGUUGCAGGAUCAGCAAGUCCCGGCUGAGAAGUUGCAAAUCACCUCCCGAACACCCGGUUUUACUGGCCGUGGCUGCCGGCAGCUCUGCUCCUCCGGCCUUCCCAGCAAAAGCGCCGGCUCUCCAUCCCCUGUAAUUCCCUGCAUCCCUCUGCGGGCAGAUCCUGGUGCUUGCUGUUUGAGUGACAGCUGUCAGUCACUGCUCCGGCCAACAUCGCAGCGGGCUGGGGCUCUUUGCCAGCGGGUUUCCGGCUGGUGGAGGAAUCGUCCUGCGGAGAAGCCGGCGCUGGCGAAACCAGCGGAAGAGCUCAGCAGAGGUGCACUCCUGCGUAAGCCUGAGCUGAGCAAAGAAAGCAUCAGGCUGCGUUUGGACUUGGAAAGGGCCCUUUUCGGCCGCCCUUUUUUUGUCGCGGUCGCAUCCGGCAGGAGUGGAGGGAGGCUGCAGUCUCACGGCUGCAGCUUCGGCGGCUCGGAGCAGUGCUUUACGCAGUGCUUAGAUUAAAAGCUUUAAAACCGGC
Dromaius novaehollandiae (emu) is the source of this 2290-nucleotide RNA transcript. It is a transcript of the gene named chromosome 24 C1orf50 homolog, with no coding region annotated. NCBI's taxonomy places the organism in Eukaryota, Metazoa, Chordata, Aves, Casuariiformes, Dromaiidae. The record is from RefSeq and is a predicted model, not a curated record. The transcript is spliced from 5 exons.